This 486-nucleotide ribosomal RNA is filed under the name uncultured soil bacterium. RNAcentral's name for it is "bacterial SSU rRNA". It matches the Rfam family "Bacterial small subunit ribosomal RNA", at positions 26 to 523 of the family's 1533-position model. The record is from RNAcentral.
AGGAUGAACGCUGGCGGCGUGCUUAACACAUGCAAGUCACGGGGGCCCAGCAAUGGGUAACCGGCGAACGGGUGCGUAACACGUGAGCAACCUACCGAAAUGAGGGGGAUAGCCGGCCCAACGGCCGGGUAAUACCGCAUACGCUCGAGACCAGGCAUUUGGACUCGAGGAAACCUCCGGGGCAUUUCGAGGGGCUCGCGGCCUAUCAGCUAGUUGGUGAGGUAACGGCUCACCAAGGCGACGACGGGUAGCUGGUCUGAGAGGAUGGCCAGCCACAUUGGGACUGAGAUACGGCCCAGACUCCUACGGGAGGCAGCAGUGGGGAAUCUUGCGCAAUGGCCUAACGGCUGACGCAGCGACGCCGCGUGAGGGAUGACGCUCUUCGGAGUGUAAACCUCUUUUGCCUGAGACGAAUUGCCAGCUUCAGCUGGUUUGACUGUAUCGGUGAAUAAGCACCGGCUAACUCCGCGCCAGCAGCCGCGGUAA